Molecule: ribosomal RNA, 79 nt
Filed under: Vreelandella aquamarina
Lineage: Bacteria; Pseudomonadati; Pseudomonadota; Gammaproteobacteria; Oceanospirillales; Halomonadaceae
Source: RNAcentral
UGCCGAACUCAGCAGUGAAACCGCUUAGCGCCGAUGGUAGUGUGGGGUCUCCCCAUGCGAGAGUAGGUCAUCGUCAGGC